Molecule: non-coding RNA, 28 nt
Filed under: Mus musculus (house mouse)
Lineage: Eukaryota; Metazoa; Chordata; Mammalia; Rodentia; Muridae
Source: RNAcentral
CCGUCUUUGUCAUGGCGCGUGUCCACUC